CGGCAUGUAGCUCAGUUGGUAGAGCACCGGAGUGAAGCCCCGGAGCGCACAGGUUCGAUUCCUGUCGUGUCGGCCA
RNAcentral lists this transfer RNA (76 nucleotides) under Mycobacteroides abscessus subsp. bolletii. Its description in RNAcentral is "tRNA-Phe(gaa)". It matches the Rfam family "tRNA". From Rfam's summary of the family: Transfer RNA (tRNA) molecules are approximately 80 nucleotides in length. Their secondary structure includes four short double-helical elements and three loops (D, anti-codon, and T loops). Further hydrogen bonds mediate the characteristic L-shaped molecular structure. tRNAs have two regions of fundamental functional importance: the anti-codon, which is responsible for specific mRNA codon recognition, and the 3' end, to which the tRNAs corresponding amino acid is attached (by aminoacyl-tRNA synthetases). tRNAs cope with the degeneracy of the genetic code in two manners: having more than one tRNA (with a specific anti-codon) for a particular amino acid; and 'wobble' base-pairing, i.e. permitting non-standard base-pairing at the 3rd anti-codon position. Lineage: Bacteria; Bacillati; Actinomycetota; Actinomycetes; Mycobacteriales; Mycobacteriaceae. The record is from RNAcentral.